Molecule: long non-coding RNA, 923 nt
Organism: Gambusia affinis (western mosquitofish)
Lineage: Eukaryota; Metazoa; Chordata; Actinopteri; Cyprinodontiformes; Poeciliidae
Exons: 3
Source: RefSeq, a predicted model, not a curated record
UGUCGCCUGAGUGUUUGCCUGUAAUGGUAAUCCAAACCCGCUCCUGAUAGCUGCCCAUCUAACAAGCUCCACGUACCCACUACUGUCCAUGCCCGUUUCAUCCACUGGAUCCAUUCAUCUAAGUUCUCCAGGCACCCAGUAUCCCUAGGUUAUCAGCCACUACUCUGUUCAGACGAAGAUAACAUCUCGGUAACAUCAGUCCAACAUUACAUCCGUUGCUGGAAGACCACUAUCAACACUCUCAAUAACCUGGUUAACCUUAAGGACACCCACAAAGAUAUCGAGACCACAAACAAAUAGUUGCCCUUCUUCUGGGUGGAAGCAACCUGCAAAUCAAUGUGCAGAGAACCCCAUGCAUCCCCCAAGGACCAGACCCUUUCACCAACAUUUUCAUAUUGUUCAAAUAAACUUUAUUUAUCUGAUUUCCUGUUCUCCUGGUGGUCUGCAUGUGGGUUAAGAAACUAGAACCCAUCAUGACAGCUUGCUUGUAAAUUUAUCAGAUAUGUUAAAAUUUCAUUGUAAAUGUUAGCACUGUAGUUAGAUAUCUCAGUAAAAGUAAAAUAAGAUUUUCUAUGAUGGCUUAGAGACCUUUCAAGUGAUUUGAUAAAUCCUACUUUACUGUUCCCAAAGGGCUGUUCAUUUGAAGCAGUCUACAAAGUCUACACUACGAUAGUAACGCUCACUUUCCAGUUAUGUUAAUGAUUUUUAAAAUCUAAAAUUUUGUGGUAAUAUUUCAAGUUUACAUUAAAAUGUAAAUGGUUGUGACCUGAAGCACAAUAAUUUUACCAAACAAGUUAACAUAGUUUUGACACGAGUUAAAGUUUUAUGGAUUCUGAAGCGCUCAUGAAUCCAGUGAAAUAAAAAUUGUAAGAAAACUAUGUAAAAACAAGAAAUUUUCCAGCUGUAGUUAAAGAAUGGAUUUU